GUAGACAUGUUUGAUGCAGGUAAUUGGAGUAACCCCGUCACUGAAUUCUCUACUGACCUUCUGCCGGUUAAGAGAGGCGAUCCAGGACGCCCCGUCAUCCCGAUCUCCAUCGGCAUGGUGGACGUUCCAGAAGCACUCUGCGACUUUGGCUCCAGUGUCAACAUUAUACCUAGGGUACUCUAUGAAAAAUUCUUUACAUAUCCUUUAUUAGAGACAACCAUGUGUUUGCAGUUUGCAGAUCAGACGAUAACUUUUCCAAAAGGAAUAGUGAGGAAUCUUUGUGUCCGAGUUGGUACCUUAUAUGCCCCAGCAGACUUCGUAGUGGUAGAGACCGGAAAUGAUGAGAGAGCACCUAUUAUCUUAGGGAGGCCAUUCUUGAACACCACGGGAGCUAUCAUCUACGCCAGUGCUGCCAAGAUCAGUUUCUACGUCAAAGGGAAGAAGGAGACAUUUUUCUUCAAGAACAAGACUACACAAAUUCAAGAUCAAUCCAGACGUAAAUCAAGGAAGAGGACCAACAGAAGAAACAGGAACAAGCAAGUGUGGACCGAGUCAGCUAAGAUGGUCACUGUAGUCCAUGGAGGCCAAGAUCAUCAACUUAAGUCACCGUUUUUGACCAAGAAGGACGACCCAGGAAUGCCAAGCAUCUACUGCUCCAUAAAUGGAUACAACUUCUACAAGACGAUUUGCGACACCGGAUCGGGCGUCAACAUAAUGGCCGCAGUCACCUAUCGUCUCUUGUUCGGAACCAUGCCACUAAGACCAACGUACAUUCAGCUCCAGAUGGCAGAUCAGACAUUUCGAGAAGUCAAAGGAAUAGUAUCUGAUGUCCCAGUCAAAAUAGACGAUCAUUUUGUCUACACAGACUUUCAAGUUGUUGACAUGGGAGAAGAUGAGUAUGAUCCACCCAUCAUCCUUGGAAGACCGUUCCUCAGCACUGUUAAAGCAAUCAUCUACAUUGGAACCGAAGAAGUCCAUAUGCACUUCCCCUCAAAGAAGGUACGCCGUUACUUUAUUGACCCUGACUAUAUCGUUGAAGAAUCUAAGCAGGUGAGAAAGAGACGCAACCGCAACCAGAGGAGGCAGAUCAUCAAGGACGGAUGGGCAGACUAUGAAGGAGAAGUUGUAAGAUCAGAAGACGUUGAGUUUAAACAGAAUUAUCCAGAGGGGAUUGAAGCACCAAGUCAAGUGUGAAAAAUAAAGAUAACUAUACAAGAAGAGGAGGCGCUGCCGGAAGUACCGACUACGCCACCCAACGAACCUAAGGACGAUUAAGAAAAUGGAGAGUCCCGUUCGGAGGACUUAAAAACACCGAACGCCUUGCCAAGAGGUAAACUUGGUAGUUAUCAUUUCCCUUUCAAUUAUUUCAAAUAGUUUAUUUAGUUAAUCAUAUUCAUACUAUCCUAAAAAGAAAAUAAAAAUAUGAAAACCAGUAAGCCCCAUGUGAGUAUGCGAGUGGCAUAAAACCCAUAAGUACAUUCACUGUGGUGGCAUAAAAAUAAAAUAAUUAUUUUUUCUGCUUUAUAAAAAAAAAAUAUAAAAACAAGGAGUAAUAUUUAUUAAGGAGUCUCAACAUGAUAAAGGCUAGAUAUUUAUGCCAACACUUAAUCAGUUCCACAAGCUUUGUUGUCUAUUUGAGCUCCACAGAAUUUAAGAAUCAAGAAGACUAGCAGACGGAGGACAUUCUAAUCGCUGUCAGAAUACUGCUGACUUUCAAAUACACCUCUGCCACCUGCUAGCUACAUCAAGAGAAAUUACGUCAAAAUUCAGCUUGGGAGAGAGCACCCCUAUUUACCUCGAUAAGUAUUUCUAUCUAUCUUUAUACUUAUAUUAUUCUAGAAUAUAAAUACACAUAACUAUGAAAAACCAAAUAAAGAUUUUAUGCUUAUAUAUAUUUUGCUUAGUGUGUUUAAUAAAUAAAUAAAGUGGCUAUGCUAAUCUGUAUCUAAAUAAAACUUAAGCAUGGAUAUGAUAAAUAGUUGCUCUGCCUAAUUUGCAAAUUUUAAGUUCUCUCUCAAGUUUAGACAUAACUGUUAUAAUUUAAAUCUUGCUCUAGACCUAAACUUGUGGGAUGAAAACUUGAUCUGAAGUCUAAGUUGUUAAUGGAUACGAUAUGGGAAAGUUGAGCUGUUGUUUAUCUGUUCCUAGAGAUGCUAGAAUUCUGGAGAAUUUUAUCUUUGAAAAUCUUUAAAAUGUUGCAUGAUGAGUCCCUGUAUGAUGAGUGUUUAAAUUCCUACCACAGCCAUAUAUACAUGCUUGCUAGACUUUGAGCCACACAUUUACUAUUUACUGCUUAUGAGCAUUGAGUAUAGUCAAGCUGUGUAGACCCUUAGGGGCUUGUCAUGUGGUUAAAUCAAGAUUUCACUUGCACGUUCACUCAUAUAUGCUACUUCUACUCCAGAAGUACCAUCCACAUAUAUCCAUCCAUUUCCAUCUCCAGAAUCACCUAAAAAUAUUCUACUCUUAAUCCGGGAGAGAAUAACCAAAAAUAUUUCUGUUUUCCUCUUGUGAAAUAAAUGCUCAAGUUAUCUUGUUACUACCACUUGCUAUAUUAUCUCAAGAGAUGAAUGCUCUGAAAAAAAAGAAAAAAAGAUACGAGGAAAUAAAAAGGAGCAAGUGCUCGGAACCUCGAAAGAAAAGAAAAAGUGAGACAAGAGGUAAAAAUGGACAAGUGUCCGACAGUAGAAAUUAGGGGUACAAGAUACCCACCUGAGAGAAAAGAAAAGGAAGAGCAUCUCAUUCUCCUCAUAAAGUUUCAAAAGCAAGGAAGGUAUGUAUCCCCUCAAAGAGCAAAGUAGAAUUAGUCUUCCACCACCAUUGUUUUCACCAUUGUUGUCACCAUCACCACCAUACACCAUUCAUUCAUCACACAUGCACAUCUUGAUUUGGCUUAUUGAUUUGUUUCUUUGGAUCCAUGGUUUGACUAUGCAAUAAAUGUCUUGUAAGUAUGUAUAUUUUAUCUCCCACCUAUGAGCUCCAGAUAUUAAAGUCUUAUUAGAGUAGGAUGAGAGAGAAGGCAAUGUCACUAUGCCUCAUACCACAAAUACUACAUAUUUUGAGAGAAGGCAUAUACCAUCACUGCCUUGGUAAGGAUCCAAAAAAUACCACAAAAGAGAGACCUGAGAGAAUCAUACAAGGAAUCUCUGAGUUUUAUUUGAAAAUCUGCAAAAAACCCCAGAACUAUAGCGGAUCAAGAAUAAGAGACAUGGCACUUGGCUAGACUGUUCUAUCUUUUAACCACUCAAGAUAGAAGUGACGGUUACAAGUCCCAUGGUGAAGGUGAAGUAAGUAAGUUUUAAGUCUUGACAGUUUACUCUAACUCAGAGAUGAGAUCUUAUUUAAAAAGCAUGUGUACCGUCAAUUUUUUAAAGAUAUUGCAACAACUUAUGAUCCAUAGCUAAGUCUAUCCUUGCUCAGGGACGAGCAAGAGGUAAGCUUGGGGGAGUUUGUUGACGGUCCUUAAGUAUCAAAUUUAAUUAUCAAAUAAAUAAAGAAAAGGAUCCAAAUGAAAUCAACAUCCAGACUUAGGGUUUUAUCUGACAGAAUUCCACGAGUUUUGGUGUUUGUCUAUUUCUGCAGGGGGUUAUCAGGAAAUACGGAAGAAAGGUCCACAUGUCGGGAUUACGUAAAGAUAUUAACGUCCUGCGCAAUUAUCUUACAUCUAGAAGACUCCAGAAGCCACGAGACCGAAGCGGAGGCGAAACGGGGCCAGAGACAGGGCGCCCGCCCUGUCCUACUAGGCGCCCGCCCACCUCCUGUGUCCAAUCAGGACUCUGCUUUGCGGGAGAUCUCCACCGACCUAAAGGAUGAAUCUAAACCAUACAAUCUAUGUCGGUUUGAUCCAAUGGCCCAUAUUCACUUGAAGGGACUAUAAAACCAGACCCCCUGGCCCCUGGAGGAGAGAGCCUCUCAACCCUAAUUCAUUGUUCAUCAAGGGAGAAGAAGCCUCUGAUCAAGAUUAGAGCCACCACAUCAAUUAAAUAUCUAGAUUAGCAUAGCUACAUAGGAUUAGAACUAGAAGGAGUCAAUCUUCGAUUGGUUUCCGGAUCUGUCAGGAGGAUUCUUGGUAAUUCUCUAAUUGUGCUUCUAAUUGCUUUCUAAUUAUCUUUGUUCUUCAAUAUUAUGAAUAUGACUUUGUUCUACUUCAAUAUAUUGCUUAUGACUUUGCUCUACUUGCUUAUAUUCAAGAUUAUAUUGUUCUUAGUUUAUCAUAGUUAUGUACUUGGCUUAGUUAGAUUCGAUCUAUAUACAUGCUUAGGAUCGUAUAGCGUUUAUCCAUCGGAUCCAUGGGUAAAUGAUAGAUAUUGUGUAGGCGUGGUGCUUAUACCGUAUUUAUCUGUGAUUGUACCCAAUAUGCCAGAUCGUGGGGUGGUUCGUGAUAGUGACAGCUUCAUUGAUUCUUAUAUAGUCCCCCUCUCGUGUAUUGGGCUGGCAGAGCAACAUUAUUACAGGGGAGUGAUUGCUAUGUUUCUCAUAUUCCUUGCUAAUAUCACUAUGCAUGGGCGUAGUCUUGUCUCGCAAUGAUUGCUAAGUAUGCUUGCACUAAUUAUGAUAUGCUAGACUAUAUAGUUAAGAAUAACUUAGGGAAUAUUCUUGUAGUUCGUUCUAAUACCAUGCUAAUGACUUUCUAGAGUAUCUAAUUGAGGUGCUUAUCAUAUUUAUUAUGUGGCUAGAUCAGAUUAGUUAUCCUUGUCACUAUUAUUAUUUCAUAUAUCCUUUAUGUGACACUUAUCCCUGUAUGAAGAGUUAGAUAUAAUGUUCUCAAUUAUACAUGCAAUGAUAGAUUCUCAAUCUCAUAUUCUAUUCUGUAAUCAAUAGUGAUGAUUGCUAAUAACUUCCCAGUGGUAAAAAUAUAAAUAACGAUACCUGGAAUACUUCCCGGUUAAAAUGCUACAUCGGUAUUAAUCUGUGCGCUUGCAGAUCCCAUUCAUUAUUUAUUUAGAAGAGCAAUUGCAUAUUUCAAUACCACGUCUCUUAUAUCAUGCUGGGGAUGACAACUUGGCUUAAGUGGUGUGAGGGAUAGGUUUGGCAUUUUUGGCACCGUUACUAGAUUUAGAGAACUUAGUCUACUUUUGGUAAUGAUGUUAAGAAUACUCAACAAGCAUUUUUUGGCGCCGUUGCCGGGGAAGGUUGAUUACAAAUCAGGAAUGGAAUAAAAGAUUUUGAGUUAUCAUUCGCAUCACUAAUAUGAUUGAGCUUAUCUAUUCUCUCAUACAGUUUUACCCCGAUAUUUUUCUAUUUUAUCUUAUGCAGGGGAAUGUAUGAAUAGAAGACAUCUUCUAGGAAAUUUUGACAAUCCCGAAGCAUUAUUCAAGAAGACGAGGGCCAAGCUCAAGAAGAGAUCAUCAACACUUCACGAAGAAGCUUCAUCUAAUCAAGAAGAUCACCGGAACUUGUCUUCAGAGUUCGAAGCCAUGGCGAACAAAUCGAUCCGCGAGCUCUCAGCUCCCACUACGGACAACAUCCGCACUGGACCUGUUGCAGAGAUCGAUGGCAACUUUGAGCUCAAGCCUGGACUUAUCAACAUGGUGCAAUCCAACCAGUUCUGUGGGAAGGCACACGAAGAUGCUAGUGCUCAUUUACAACACUUCCUGGAGAUUUGCAACACAUUCACCAUAGCAGGAGUUUCCAAAGACGCUAUACUACUUCGCCUCUUCCCAUUCUCACUGUUAGGAAGAGCGAAGCAGUGGUUCUACACUACAAAGGAGAAGAAUACUACGUGGGCACUCUGCUCAACAAACUUCCUGGCAAAGUUCUUUCCCAUGGGCAAGACCAAUGCUCUCUGUGGGAAGAUUACAAGUUUUCAGCAACAAAAUGAUGAAUCUGUUCCAGAAGCAUGGGAGCGCUUUCAAGACUACAUCCUAGAAUGUCCCCAUCAUGGAAUGAAGAGUUGGCUAUUGAUGCAGACAUUCUAUCAUGGGCUCAGCAACAGUGCCCGAGAGACCAUGGAUGCUGCAGCUGGAGGAGCAUUCUUAUCACUUACUAUACCACAAGCCACAGCUCUUGUGGAGAAGAUGGCGUCCAAUCAAAGCUGGAAUGAAGAGAGGACCCAGACACGCAAGAGAGGUGGAGGUAUGCAUCAGCUGAAGGAGGUAGACAUGCUGUCUGCAAAGCUAGACCUGCUCAUGAAGAAGCUCGAUGAUAGAGCUGGAGACAAGAAAGAAGUUAUGCACAUCUACGAUUCUCACAUGACUUGUGAGGAGUGUGGAGAUACUGGACACUCAGGCAACCACUGCUCUGAGAUGCUUGAGGAUGUGAACUACAUCAACAACAACUACUACUACUACUACAACCGUCCUCAACAAAAUCAAGGUUGGAAUCAACAGAGGCCUAACUACUGAGGUAAUUCUCAAGGUAACAAUUCUUACAACAAUAAUAAUAAUUUUCCACCUUUGAGAGAGUUAGUGUCUAAUCAAGGAAAGCUAAUGGAUAACCUAUCUAAGAAAUUGGCAUCUAAUGAUAAAAUGCUAGAAAAUAUAAAUAAUAGAAUGGAUAAUUUCUCUACUGCCAUCAAGAAUCAAAUUAGCUUUAAUAAAAUGAUUGAAUCUCAGUUAAAUCAAAUAGCUGCUGCUGUUCCUACUACUAACCCCGGUAUACCAUCACAACCGGAAGGAUUAGAAUCUGCAAAUCUUGUAGACAUGUUUGAUGCAGGUAAUUGGAGUAACCCCGUCACUGAAUUCUCUACUGACCUUCUGCCGGUUAAGAGAGGCGAUCCAGGACGCCCCGUCAUCCCGAUCUCCAUCGGCAUGGUGGACGUUCCAGAAGCACUCUGCGACUUUGGCUCCAGUGUCAACAUUAUACCUAGGGUACUCUAUGAAAAAUUCUUUACAUAUCCUUUAUUAGAGACAACCAUGUGUUUGCAGUUUGCAGAUCAGACGAUAACUUUUCCAAAAGGAAUAGUGAGGAAUCUUUGUGUCCGAGUUGGUACCUUAUAUGCCCCAGCAGACUUCGUAGUGGUAGAGACCGGAAAUGAUGAGAGAGCACCUAUUAUCUUAGGGAGGCCAUUCUUGAACACCACGGGAGCUAUCAUCUACGCCAGUGCUGCCAAGAUCAGUUUCUACGUCAAAGGGAAGAAGGAGACAUUUUUCUUCAAGAACAAGACUACACAAAUUCAAGAUCAAUCCAGACGUAAAUCAAGGAAGAGGACCAACAGAAGAAACAGGAACAAGCAAGUGUGGACCGAGUCAGCUAAGAUGGUCACUGUAGUCCAUGGAGGCCAAGAUCAUCAACUUAAGUCACCGUUUUUGACCAAGAAGGACGACCCAGGAAUGCCAAGCAUCUACUGCUCCAUAAAUGGAUACAACUUCUACAAGACGAUUUGCGACACCGGAUCGGGCGUCAACAUAAUGGCCGCAGUCACCUAUCGUCUCUUGUUCGGAACCAUGCCACUAAGACCAACGUACAUUCAGCUCCAGAUGGCAGAUCAGACAUUUCGAGAAGUCAAAGGAAUAGUAUCUGAUGUCCCAGUCAAAAUAGACGAUCAUUUUGUCUACACAGACUUUCAAGUUGUUGACAUGGGAGAAGAUGAGUAUGAUCCACCCAUCAUCCUUGGAAGACCGUUCCUCAGCACUGUUAAAGCAAUCAUCUACAUUGGAACCGAAGAAGUCCAUAUGCACUUCCCCUCAAAGAAGGUACGCCGUUACUUUAUUGACCCUGACUAUAUCGUUGAAGAAUCUAAGCAGGUGAGAAAGAGACGCAACCGCAACCAGAGGAGGCAGAUCAUCAAGGACGGAUGGGCAGACUAUGAAGGAGAAGUUGUAAGAUCAGAAGACGUUGAGUUUAAACAGAAUUAUCCAGAGGGGAUUGAAGCACCAAGUCAAGUGUGAAAAAUAAAGAUAACUAUACAAGAAGAGGAGGCGCUGCCGGAAGUACCGACUACGCCACCCAACGAACCUAAGGACGAUUAAGAAAAUGGAGAGUCCCGUUCGGAGGACUUAAAAACACCGAACGCCUUGCCAAGAGGUAAACUUGGUAGUUAUCAUUUCCCUUUCAAUUAUUUCAAAUAGUUUAUUUAGUUAAUCAUAUUCAUACUAUCCUAAAAAGAAAAUAAAAAUAUGAAAACCAGUAAGCCCCAUGUGAGUAUGCGAGUGGCAUAAAACCCAUAAGUACAUUCACUGUGGUGGCAUAAAAAUAAAAUAAUUAUUUUUUCUGCUUUAUAAAAAAAAAAUAUAAAAACAAGGAGUAAUAUUUAUUAAGGAGUCUCAACAUGAUAAAGGCUAGAUAUUUAUGCCAACACUUAAUCAGUUCCACAAGCUUUGUUGUCUAUUUGAGCUCCACAGAAUUUAAGAAUCAAGAAGACUAGCAGACGGAGGACAUUCUAAUCGCUGUCAGAAUACUGCUGACUUUCAAAUACACCUCUGCCACCUGCUAGCUACAUCAAGAGAAAUUACGUCAAAAUUCAGCUUGGGAGAGAGCACCCCUAUUUACCUCGAUAAGUAUUUCUAUCUAUCUUUAUACUUAUAUUAUUCUAGAAUAUAAAUACACAUAACUAUGAAAAACCAAAUAAAGAUUUUAUGCUUAUAUAUAUUUUGCUUAGUGUGUUUAAUAAAUAAAUAAAGUGGCUAUGCUAAUCUGUAUCUAAAUAAAACUUAAGCAUGGAUAUGAUAAAUAGUUGCUCUGCCUAAUUUGCAAAUUUUAAGUUCUCUCUCAAGUUUAGACAUAACUGUUAUAAUUUAAAUCUUGCUCUAGACCUAAACUUGUGGGAUGAAAACUUGAUCUGAAGUCUAAGUUGUUAAUGGAUACGAUAUGGGAAAGUUGAGCUGUUGUUUAUCUGUUCCUAGAGAUGCUAGAAUUCUGGAGAAUUUUAUCUUUGAAAAUCUUUAAAAUGUUGCAUGAUGAGUCCCUGUAUGAUGAGUGUUUAAAUUCCUACCACAGCCAUAUAUACAUGCUUGCUAGACUUUGAGCCACACAUUUACUAUUUACUGCUUAUGAGCAUUGAGUAUAGUCAAGCUGUGUAGACCCUUAGGGGCUUGUCAUGUGGUUAAAUCAAGAUUUCACUUGCACGUUCACUCAUAUAUGCUACUUCUACUCCGGAAGUACCAUCCACAUAUAUUCAUCCAUUUCCAUCUCCAGAAUCACCUAAAAAUAUUCUACUCCUAAUCCGGGAGAGAAUAACCAAAAAUAUUUCUGUUUUCCUCUUGUGAAAUAAAUGCUCAAGUUAUCUUGUUACUACCACUUGCUAUAUUAUCUCAAGAGAUGAAUGCUCUGAAAAAAAAAGAAAAAAAGAUACGAGGAAAUAAAAAGGAGCAAGUGCUCGGAACCUCGAAAGAAAAGAAAAAGUGAGACGAGAGGUAAAAAUGGACAAGUGUCCGACAGUAGAAAUUAGGGGUACAAGAUACCCACCUGAGAGAAAAGAAAAAGAAGAGCAUCUCAUUCUCCUCAUAAAGUUUCAAAAGCAAGGAAGGUAUGUAUCCUCUCAAAGAGCAAAGUAGAAUUAGACUUCCACCACCAUUGUUUUCACCAUUGUUGUCACCAUCACCACCAUACACCAUUCAUUCGUCACACAUGCACAUCUUGAUUUGGCUUAUUGAUUUGUUUCUUUGGAUCCAUGGUUUGACUAUGCAAUAAAUGUCUUGUAAGUAUGUAUAUUUUAUCUCCCACCUAUGAGCUCCAGAUAUUAAAGUCUUAUUAGAGUAGGAUGAGAGAGAAGGCAAUGUCACUAUGCCUCAUACCACAAAUACUACAUAUUUUGAGAGAAGGCAUAUACCAUCACUGCCUUGGUAAGGAUCCAAAAAAUACCACAAAAGAGAGACCUGAGAGAAUCAUACAAGGAAUCUCUGAGUUUUAUUUGAAAAUCUGCAAAAAACGCCAGAGCUAUAGCGGAUCAAGAAUAAGAGACAUGGCACUUGGCUAGACUGUUCUAUCAUUUAACCACUCAAGAUAGAAGUGACGGUUACAAGUCCCAUGGUGAAGGUGAAGUAAGUAAGUUUUAAGUCUUGACAGUUUACUCUAACUCAGAGAUGAGAUCUUAUUUAAAAAGCAUGUGUACCGUCAAUUUUUUAAAGAUAUUGCAACAACUUAUGAUCCAUAGCUAAGUCUAUCCUUACUCAGGGACGAGCAAGAGGUAAGCUUGGGGGAGUUUGUUGACGGUCCUUAAGUAUCAAAUUUAAUUAUCAAAUAAAUAAAGAAAAGGAUCCAAAUGAAAUCAACAUCCAGACUUAGGGUUUUAUCUGACAGAAUUCCACGAGUUUUGGUGUUUGUCUAUUUCUGCAGGGGGUUAUCAGGAAAUACGGAAGAAAGGUCCACAUGUCGGGAUUACGUAAAGAUAUUAACGUCCUGCGCAAUUAUCUUACAUCUAGAAGACUCCAGAAGCCACGAUACCGAAGCGGAGGCGAAACGGGGCCAGAGACAGGGCGCCCGCCCUGUCCUACUGGGCGCCCGCCCACCUCCUGUGUCCAAUCAGGACUCUGCUUUGCGGGAGAUCUCCACCGACCUAAAGGAUGAAUCUAAACCAUACAAUCUAUGUCGGUUUGAUCCAAUGGCCCAUAUUCACUUGAAGGGACUAUAAAACCAGACCCCCUGGCCCCUGGAGGAGAGAGCUUCUCAACCCUAAUUCAUUGUUCAUCAAGGGAUAAGAAGCCUCUGAUCAAGAUUAGAGCCACCACAUCAAUUAGAUAUCUAGAUUAGCAUAGCUACAUAGGAUU
RNAcentral lists this long non-coding RNA (10643 nucleotides) under Sorghum bicolor (sorghum). RNAcentral describes it as "long non-coding RNA (SBIC_LNC006093)". Lineage: Eukaryota; Viridiplantae; Streptophyta; Magnoliopsida; Poales; Poaceae. The record is from RNAcentral.